Molecule: ribosomal RNA, 1446 nt
Filed under: metagenome
Description: bacterial SSU rRNA
Rfam family: Bacterial small subunit ribosomal RNA
Source: RNAcentral
AGAGUUUGAUUCUGGCUCAGAACGAACGCUGGCAGUGUGGAUUAGGCAUGCAAGUCGAACGAAAUCCAAGGCAUCCAAGUAGCAAUAUGAGGAUGUCUUGGUGACAGUGGCGAAAGGGUGAGGAACGCGUGGGCAAUCUGCCUUUAAGUUGGGGAUAACCAGUCGAAAGGCUGGCUAAUACCGAAUGUGAAACUCCGGUGAUGCCGGAGUCUUUAAAGAUGGGGAUCUUCGGACCUGUCGCUUGAAGAGGAGCCCGCGUCCUAUCAGCUUGUUGGAGAGGUAACGGCCCACCAAGGCUUACGGGUAGCUGGUCUGAGAGGAUGGUCAGCCACACUGGGACUGAGACACUGCCCAGACUCCUACGGGAGGCUGCAGUCGAGGAUCAUUCGCAAUGGGCGCAAGCCUGACGAUGCGACGCUGCGUGGAGGAUGAAGGCCUUCGGGUCGUAAACUCCUGUCAUUCGGGAACAAGAUACUGUCGUUAAUAUCGACGGGAUGAGAUAGUACCGGAAGAGGAAGCCACGGCUAACUCUGUGCCAGCAGCCGCGGUAAUACAGAGGUGGCGAGCGUUGUUCGGAUUUACUGGGCGUAAAGGGUGCGUAGGUGGUUUGGUGUGUCGGAUGUGAAAUCCCACUGCUCAACGGUGGAAUGGCAUUCGAAACUACUAGACUGGAGUGCAGGAGAGGAGAGCGGAAUUCUCGGUGUAGCGGUGGAAUGCGUUGAUGUCGAGAAGAACACCGGUGGCGAAGGCGGCUCUCUGGAAUGCAACUGACACUGAGGCACGAAAGCGUGGGGAGCAAACAGGAUUAGAUACCCUGGUAGUCCACGCCCUAAACGGUGCUCACUUGGUGUGGGGAGAUUUGACCCUCUCCGUGCCGGAGCUAACGCGUUAAGUGUGCCGCCUGGGGAGUACGGUCGCAAGAUUAAAACUCAAAGAAAUUGACGGGGGCCCGCACAAGCGGAGGAGCAUGUGGCUUAAUUCGAUGCAACGCGAAGAACCUUACCAGGGCUUGACAUGCAGCUGCACGUCCCGUGAAAGCGGGAUUCCUUCGAGGGUGCUGCACAGGUGCUGCAUGGCUGUCGUCAGUUCGUGCCGUGAGGUGUUAGGUUAAGUCCUGCAACGAACGCAACCCCUGUGUCUAGUUGCUACCGCGGUGAUGAACCGGCGAGCACUCUAGACAGACUGCCCGUGAUAAGCGGGAGGAAGGUGGGGAUGACGUCAAGUCAGUAUGGCCUUUAUGCCCUGGGCUGCACACGUGCUACAAUGAUCGGUACAGAGGGAAGCAAGACCGCAAGGUGGAGCAAAUCCCAGAAAACCGACCUCAGUUCGGAUUGAAGUCUGCAACUCGACUUCAUGAAGUUGGAUUCGCUAGUAAUGGCGCAUCAGCUACGGCGCCGUGAAUACGUUCCCGGGCCUUGUACACACCGCCCGUCACAUCAUGAAAGC